GGAACUUGAAGAAAUAGUUUUAUCAGGUAAAGCGAAUGAUUAGAAGCUCUGGGGGAUGAAACAUCCUCGACUUAUUCUCAAACUUUAAAUAGGUAAGAUGAUUGCAGUACUUAAUUGACUGUCAGUCUCUUGAAUAGAAAGUUCUUAGUGGGCCAUUUUUGGUAAGCAGAACUGGCGAUGUGGGAUGAACCAAACGUAAAGUUAAAGUGCCUAAAAGUACGUUCAUCAGAUACCACAAAAGGUGUUGAUUCAUCUUGACAGUUGGACAGUGGCCAUGGAAGUCGGAAUCUGCUAAGGAGUGUGUAACAACUCACCAACCGAAUGAAUUAGCCCUGAAAAUGGAUGGCGCUUAAACGUACUACUUAUACUUUACCAUUAAAGUAAAUGCUAAACUUUUAAUGAGUAGGAGGGCGUAUGGAUAAUUUAGAAGACUGAUAGUGAUAUUGG
Molecule: ribosomal RNA, 447 nt
Filed under: uncultured eukaryote
Lineage: Eukaryota
Description: eukaryotic LSU rRNA
Rfam family: Eukaryotic large subunit ribosomal RNA
Source: RNAcentral